This 29-nucleotide non-coding RNA is filed under the name Homo sapiens (human). Lineage: Eukaryota; Metazoa; Chordata; Mammalia; Primates; Hominidae. The record is from RNAcentral.
UAGAACAAUGUUUUGAUAACGGUAGCUAC